CGGGGGGGGCAAGCGUUGUUCGGAAUUACUGGGCGUAAAGGGCGCGUAGGCGGUUUGCUAAGUUGAAUGUGAAAACUCUGGGCUUAACCCAGAGCCUGCAUUCAAUACUGGCAGGCUAGAGUUCUGGAGGGGAUAGCGGAAUUCCUGGUGUAGCGGUGAAAUGCGUAGAUAUCAGGAGGAACACCGGUGGCGAAGGCGGCUAUCUGGACAGAGUCUGACGCUGAGGCGCGAAAGCUAGGGGAGCAAACAGGAUUAGAUACCCUGGUAGUCCUAGCCCUAAACGAUGGAUACUUGCUGUGACUGGGAUUGAAUCCAGCCGUGGCGAAGCUAACGCAUUAAGUAUCCCGCCUGGGGAGUACGGUCGCAAGGCUG
This 372-nucleotide ribosomal RNA is filed under the name uncultured organism. Its description in RNAcentral is "bacterial SSU rRNA". It matches the Rfam family "Bacterial small subunit ribosomal RNA", at positions 526 to 896 of the family's 1533-position model. The record is from RNAcentral.